GACGAACGCUGGCGGCGUGCUUUACACAUGCAAGUCGAACGGAAAGGCCCUGCUUUUGUGGGGUGCUCGAGUGGCGAACGGGUGAGUAACACGUGAGUAACCUGCCCUUGACUUUGGGAUAACUUCAGGAAACUGGGGCUAAUACCGGAUAGGAGCUCCUGCUGCAUGGUGGGGGUUGGAAAGUUUCGGCGGUUGGGGAUGGACUCGCGGCUUAUCAGCUUGUUGGUGGGGUAGUGGCUUACCAAGGCUUUGACGGGUAGCCGGCCUGAGAGGGUGACCGGCCACAUUGGGACUGAGAUACGGCCCAGACUCCUACGGGAGGCAGCAGUGGGGAAUAUUGCACAAUGGGCGGAAGCCUGAUGCAGCAACGCCGCGUGCGGGAUGACGGCCUUCGGGUUGUAAACCGCUUUCGCCUGUGACGAAGCGUGAGUGACGGUAAUGGGUAAAGAAGCACCGGCUAACUACGUGCCAGCAGCCGCGGUGAUACGUAGGGUGCGAGCGUUGUCCGGAUUUAUUGGGCGUAAAGGGCUCGUAGGUGGUUGAUCGCGUCGGAAGUGUAAUCUUGGGGCUUAACCCUGAGCGUGCUUUCGAUACGGGUUGACUUGAGGAAGGUAGGGGAGAAUGGAAUUCCUGGUGGAGCGGUGGAAUGCGCAGAUAUCAGGAGGAACACCAGUGGCGAAGGCGGUUCUCUGGGCCUUUCCUGACGCUGAGGAGCGAAAGCGUGGGGAGCGAACAGGCUUAGAUACCCUGGUAGUCCACGCUGUAAACGGUGGGUACUAGGUGUGGGGUCCAUUCCACGGGUUCCGUGCCGUAGCUAACGCUUUAAGUACCCCGCCUGGGGAGUACGGCCGCAAGGCUAAAACUCAAAGGAAUUGACGGGGCCCCGCACAAGCGGCGGAGCAUGCGGAUUAAUUCGAUGCAACGCGUAGAACCUUACCUGGGUUUGACAUGGAUCGGGAGUGCUCAGAGAUGGGUGUGCCUCUUUUGGGGUCGGUUCACAGGUGGUGCAUGGCUGUCGUCAGCUCGUGUCGUGAGAUGUUGGGUUAAGUCCCGCAACGAGCGCAACCCUUGUUCACUGUUGCCAGCACGUUAUGGUGGGGACUCAGUGGAGACCGCCGGGGUCAACUCGGAGGAAGGUGGGGAUGACGUCAAGUCAUCAUGCCCCUUAUGUCCAGGGCUUCACGCAUGCUACAAUGGCUGGUACAGAGAGUGGCGAGCCUGUGAGGGUGAGCGAAUCUCGGAAAGCCGGUCUCAGUUCGGAUUGGGGUCUGCAACUCGACCUCAUGAAGUCGGAGUCGCUAGUAAUCGCAGAUCAGCAACGCUGCGGUGAAUACGUUCCCGGGGCU
Molecule: ribosomal RNA, 1346 nt
Filed under: uncultured bacterium
Lineage: Bacteria
Description: partial 16S ribosomal RNA
Rfam family: Bacterial small subunit ribosomal RNA
Source: RNAcentral